GGCCUGGGUAGCUCAGUCGGUAGAGCACCUGACUUGUGAUGUAGGGGUUCCGGGUUCAAUUCCUGGUCCAGCCA
Non-coding RNA from Saccostrea echinata, 74 nucleotides. Lineage: Eukaryota; Metazoa; Mollusca; Bivalvia; Ostreida; Ostreidae. The record is from the annotation of a RefSeq genome assembly.